CCUACGGGGGGCUGCAGUGGGGAAUAUUGGACAAUGGGGGGAACCCUGAUCCAGCCAUGCCGCGUGUGUGAAGAAGGCCCUCGGGUUGUAAAGCACUUUCAGUGAGGAAGAACGCCUGGUGGUUAAUACCCAUCAGGAAAGACAUCACUCACAGAAGAAGCACCGGCUAACUCCGUGCCAGCAGCCGCGGUAAUGCGGAGGGUGCGAGCGUUAAUCGGAAUUACUGGGCGUAAAGCGCGCGUAGGUGGCUUGAUAAGCCGGUUGUGAAAGCCCCGGGCUCAACCUGGGAACGGCAUCCGGAACUGUCAAGCUAGAGUGCAGGAGAGGAAGGUAGAAUUCCCGGUGUAGCGGUGAAAUGCGUAGAGAUCGGGAGGAAUACCAGUGGCGAAGGCGGCCUUCUGGACUGACACUGACACUGAGGUGCGAAAGCGUGGGUAGCAAACAGGAUUAGAUACCCCUGUAGUC
This 465-nucleotide ribosomal RNA is filed under the name Vreelandella stevensii. Its description in RNAcentral is "partial 16S ribosomal RNA". It matches the Rfam family "Bacterial small subunit ribosomal RNA", at positions 338 to 795 of the family's 1533-position model. The record is from RNAcentral. Lineage: Bacteria; Pseudomonadati; Pseudomonadota; Gammaproteobacteria; Oceanospirillales; Halomonadaceae.